UACGUAGGGGGCAAGCGUUGUCCGGAAUCAUUGGGCGUAAAGAGCGUGUAGGCGGCUCGGCAAGUCUGGUGUGAAAUCUUGCGGCUCAACCGCAAGCGGUCACUGGAAACUGCCUCGCUAGAGUCCGGAAGAGGAGAGCGGAAUUCCUGGUGUAGCGGUGGAAUGCGCAGAUAUCAGGAAGAACACCCGUGGCGAAGGCGGCUCUCUGGGACGGUACUGACGCUGAGACGCGAAAGCGUGGGGAGCGAACAGG
This 253-nucleotide ribosomal RNA is filed under the name uncultured bacterium. RNAcentral describes it as "partial 16S ribosomal RNA". It matches the Rfam family "Bacterial small subunit ribosomal RNA", at positions 524 to 776 of the family's 1533-position model. The record is from RNAcentral.